This is a long non-coding RNA of Oncorhynchus tshawytscha (Chinook salmon), 616 nucleotides long. RefSeq lists it as uncharacterized. The transcript is spliced from 2 exons. The record is from RefSeq and is a predicted model, not a curated record. Lineage: Eukaryota; Metazoa; Chordata; Actinopteri; Salmoniformes; Salmonidae.
CCAUCUCUAUAUCUCUCUCCCCAUCUCUCUAUCCCUCUCUCUCUCUCUCUCUGUUACACACACACUUUGUUAUUUCUCAAUGCUCAAAGGUCUCCUCCUUCCAAUAACAAAGAGGAUGUGACUCUGAUGUUAUAGAUUCUUUCCCAUGGUCACUUUGCAUUGUGGGGAGGAAGGUCUUCUUUUGAGAAACAGGUGCCAUGGUCACUUUGCAUUGUGGGGAGGAAGGUCUUCUUUUGAGAAACAGAUGCCAUGGUCACUUUGCAGAAGUUACGGAAACUGCAUGGUGUUUCUCUCUCUCUCUCUCACCAUCCCAUUUGCAUUUCCUUCUGUUGUUCUGUGUUAUAGACAGACAGCUCAAGCUUUUCCUUGUCUUUUCUUUGGUCGCGUAUUUAAACCCUCAGAGACGUUGGUCAGAGAGGGGAAGAAUCACUUCAACAUGUUGAAUUUAAAUUCAUUUCAAUCACAUGAACUCCUUCCUGAUCUUUCAUCAUGGUCUUUUGUUCUACUCGACAUUGUUCAUGAGUUAUUUCCAUAGAGAAUGGUGUCCCUCUGUGCUGGUCCUCUCCUCUCUCCUUUAAUCAUUUAAAACCCCUCCUGGCCCUCUCCACACCCCCUG